Molecule: ribosomal RNA, 254 nt
Filed under: uncultured bacterium
Lineage: Bacteria
Description: partial 16S ribosomal RNA
Rfam family: Bacterial small subunit ribosomal RNA
Source: RNAcentral
UACGGGGGGGGCAAGCGUUGUUCGGAAUUACUGGGCGUAAAGGGGUUGUAGGUGGCUUGUUAAGUCAGACGUGAAAUCCCUCAGCUUAACUGGGGAACUGCGUCUGAUACUGGCGAGCUUGAGUGCAGGAGAGGAACGCGGAAUUCCAGGUGUAGCGGUGAAAUGCGUAGAUAUCUGGAGGAACACCGGUGGCGAAGGCGGCAUCCUGGACCACGACUGACGCUGAGUGAGCGAAAGCCAGGGGAGCAAACGGG